This 49-nucleotide ribosomal RNA is filed under the name Transversotrema fusilieri. RNAcentral describes it as "partial 28S ribosomal RNA". The record is from RNAcentral. Lineage: Eukaryota; Metazoa; Platyhelminthes; Trematoda; Azygiida; Transversotrematidae.
UGACCUCGGAUCAGACGUGAAUACCCGCUGAACUUAACCAUAUCCCUAA